Molecule: ribosomal RNA, 448 nt
Filed under: uncultured bacterium
Lineage: Bacteria
Description: bacterial SSU rRNA
Rfam family: Bacterial small subunit ribosomal RNA
Source: RNAcentral
CUCCAGACUCCUACGGGAGGCAGCAGUGGGGAAUAUUGCACAAUGGGGGAAACCCUGAUGCAGCGACGCCGCGUGAGCGAUGAAGUAUUUCGGUAUGUAAAGCUCUAUCAGCAGGGAAGAAGAUGACGGUACCUGACUAAGAAGCCCCGGCUAACUACGUGCCAGCAGCCGCGGUAAUACGUAGGGGGCAAGCGUUAUCCGGAUUUACUGGGUGUAAAGGGAGCGUAGACGGCGAUGCAAGCCAGAUGUGAAAGCCCGGGGCCCAACCCCGGGACUGCUCUUGGAACUGCAUGGCUGGAGUACAGGAGGGGCAGGCGGAAUUCCUAGUGUAGCGGUAAAAUGCGUAGAUAUUAGGAGGAACACCGGUGGCGAAGGCGGCCUGCUGGACUGUGACUGACGUUGAGGCCCGAAGGCGUGGGGAGCAAACAGGAUUAGAUACCCGCGUACA